This 253-nucleotide ribosomal RNA is filed under the name uncultured bacterium. RNAcentral's name for it is "partial 16S ribosomal RNA". It matches the Rfam family "Bacterial small subunit ribosomal RNA", at positions 524 to 776 of the family's 1533-position model. The record is from RNAcentral.
UACGAAGGGUGCAAGCGUUACUCGGAAUUACUAGGCGUAAAGCGUGCGUAGGUGGUUUGUUAAGUCUGCUGUGAAAGCCCCGGGCUCAACCUGGGAAUGGCAGUGGAUACUGGCAAGCUAGAGUGCGGUAGAGGGGUGUGGAAUUCCCGGUGUAGCGGUGAAAUGCGUAGAGAUCGGGAGGAACACCAGUGGCGAAGGCGGCACCCUGGACCAGCACUGACACUGAGGCACGAAAGCGUGGGGAGCAAACAGG